RNAcentral lists this ribosomal RNA (259 nucleotides) under uncultured prokaryote. RNAcentral describes it as "partial 16S ribosomal RNA". It matches the Rfam family "Bacterial small subunit ribosomal RNA", at positions 524 to 782 of the family's 1533-position model. The record is from RNAcentral.
UACGGAGGAUCCAAGCGUUAUCCGGAUUUAUUGGGUUUAAAGGGUGCGUAGGUGGACUCAUAAGUCAGCGGUGAAAGUUUGCAGCUUAACUGUAAAAUUGCCGUUGAAACUGUCGGUCUUGAGUGCAAAUGAGGUAGGCGGAAUGUGUCGUGUAGCGGUGAAAUGCUUAGAUAUGACGCAGAACUCCGAUUGCGAAGGCAGCUUACUGGGAUGCAACUGACGCUGAGGCACGAAAGCGUGGGGAUCGAACAGGAUUAGA